Molecule: ribosomal RNA, 450 nt
Filed under: uncultured bacterium
Lineage: Bacteria
Description: bacterial SSU rRNA
Rfam family: Bacterial small subunit ribosomal RNA
Source: RNAcentral
UGGGGAAUCUUGCGCAAUGGACGAAAGUCUGACGCAGCGACGCCGCGUGGGUGAAGAAGGCCUUCGGGUUGUAAAGCCCUGUCGAGUGGGAAAAAUGGUAUCGAUAAUAAUACGAUCGAUAAUUGAUGGUACCACUAGAGGAAGCACCGGCUAACUCCGUGCCAGCAGCCGCGGUAAUACGGAGGGUGCAAGCGUUGUUCGGAAUUAUUGGGCGUAAAGGGCAAGUAGGUGGUCUUGUUAGUCUACUGUGAAAUCCCUGGGCUUAACCCAGGACGUGCGGUGGAUACUGCAAGACUAGAGUACCGGAGGGGUGCGUGGAAUUCCUGGUGUAGCGGUGAAAUGCGUAGAUAUCAGGAGGAACACCAGAGGCGAAAGCGGCGCACUGGACGGUAACUGACACUCAAUUGCGAAAGCGUGGGGAGCAAACAGGAUUAGAUACCCCGGUAGUCC